This 319-nucleotide ribosomal RNA is filed under the name uncultured bacterium. RNAcentral's name for it is "bacterial SSU rRNA". It matches the Rfam family "Bacterial small subunit ribosomal RNA", at positions 86 to 422 of the family's 1533-position model. The record is from RNAcentral.
GCAAUGGGAGCGGCAGACGGGAGAGUAACACGUGGGAACGUACCCUUCAGUUCGGAACAACCCAGGGAAACUUGGGCUAAUACCGAAUACGUCCGUAAGGAGAAAGAUUUAUCGCUGAAGGAUCGGCCCGCGUCUGAUUAGCUAGUUGGUGGGGUAAUGGCCCACCAAGGCGACGAUCAGUAGCUGGUCUGAGAGGAUGAUCAGCCUCACUGGGACUGAGACACGGCCCAGACUCCUACGGGAGGCAGCAGUGGGGAAUAUUGGACAAUGGGCGCAAGCCUGAUCCAGCCAUGCCGCGUGGAUGAUGAAGGCCUUAGGG